Hemicordylus capensis (graceful crag lizard) is the source of this 1247-nucleotide long non-coding RNA. RefSeq lists it as uncharacterized. The transcript has 3 exons. The record is from RefSeq and is a predicted model, not a curated record. Lineage: Eukaryota; Metazoa; Chordata; Lepidosauria; Squamata; Cordylidae.
UUCACUCACUGCUCUGUUCUGUUCUGUUCUGCGACCUACAUUGCAAGGUGUAUUCACUAAGUCAAAAUGUGAGUGAAGACAUUGCUGUAGUUGAGCUUAUAGCUAUGCUUGCUGACCGCAAGGGUGCUGCCUUGACAGCUGUUGUAGGUAAGGUUGGAGUCAGAAUGGUGUGAGAGAGAGCAACUUAUGCCAAUGACGUUACUGCAGUGCAGGCAUUGUGGCUGACAAUGGAUUCUGGUUGGAGAAGGUUGUCACUUGUAAAGAAGAAAUGAUACAAUCAAAAUGUUCAUUGACCAGGCAGAUAAGGGACAUGAAGUGGGGUUAAUUUGCCAUGACAGAGGCACAUAUCAUGCGAAGACUGGACGGACAUUCCUCACCCAGCAAGAGCCUACGCUGAAACUUAUUUGAAUGAACUUGACCCUCCUUGGCAGCAGGCCAAUAUGCAACGUCACUGAAUGACUUAACAGAACACAGUGUUCUUGGCACAAGCACAAGAAUGUGUUGAAAGCCAUGCUGGAGAGAAGUAUAACAUUUCACAUUAAUAAAAAUAAAGGGUAAUAAAGAGAUAGUAAACACAAUGCCAGAAGUAGUUAUCUGGAUAUAAGUGUUUGUUUGUUUUUAAACGGCUCUUUGUGCAAAGAAAAUGUACAGACUUUGUUCCCUGAACUGAGCCCCAUCUGACCCCACACUCAAUCCCACCUCAAAUAAAAGCCCACACCCAUUCCCUGUGCUGCUUUCCCUCAGUGGUCUACCUGGAAAAUUCCAAUUCACCUUUUAGCUUAGGAAAGGGGAGUGACAGCCUGUUAAACUAACAUCAAUCCAUGACUCACUUCCUUUCAAAACCUUAAUGUAGAUACUAUACUGCAAGUGUUAGUGUUUCACGCAAUUCUUCUGUACACGAUAAUCUCCUAUGAAGUUAUGUCAUUCAUAAAUGGAUUAUGUUAACUCUGUCACAAGAUUAAAAGCAAGCAAGAGGGACAGCCACAAAGUAAAUUUAAUUUACCAUGAACUCAAUGUACUUCCUUCAUGUAAAUAAGCCAGUGCCAUCGUCUCCAUUUCCUCGCUUGGGAUUUCCCCACAUUUUCUUCCCAGUGCCCUGUGCCAAGUUCUCCUUUCCCCUCCUCUAUACACUCCACUCAAUUUCUCUCUCCUAUGACCUAUUUCACCCUUCCCUGCUUCUUUACAAAUGAGGGGUCAGACUUAUUUUCCACUACACGAAAAUACCUGAACACUACUAAAGAAUUAAA